GACGAACGCUGGCGGCGUGCUUAACACAUGCAAGUCGAACGGAAAGGCCCUGCUUGCAGGGUACUCGAGUGGCGAACGGGUGCGUAACACGUGGGUGAUCUGCACUGCACUUCUGGAUAAGCCUGGGUAACUGGGACUAAUACCGGAUAGGAGCCACUUUUAGUGUGAUGGUUGGAAAGUUUUUUCGGUGUAGGAUGAGCUCGCGGCCUAUCAGCUUGUUGGUGGGGUAAUGGACUGCCAAGGAGGCGACGGGUAGCCGGCCAGAGAGAGUGGACGACCACAUUGGGACUUAGAUACGGCCCAGACUCCUACGGGAGGCCGCAGUGGGGAAGAUUGCACAAUGGGCGCAAGGCGGAUGCAGAGACGCCGCGUGGGGGAUGACGGCCUUCUGGUUGUAAACUCCUUUCGCUGUAGACGAAGAUGUAUGUGACGGUACCUAGAUAAGAAGCACCGGCUAACUACGUG
RNAcentral lists this ribosomal RNA (465 nucleotides) under uncultured bacterium. RNAcentral's name for it is "partial 16S ribosomal RNA". It matches the Rfam family "Bacterial small subunit ribosomal RNA", at positions 28 to 507 of the family's 1533-position model. The record is from RNAcentral.